GUUUGUACCCGAAGUCAUCUUAGCCAACCAUUUGGAGGCGGAUGCCUAAGGUAUGGGGAGUGAUUGGGGUGAAGUCGUAACAAGGUAGCCGUAGGUGAACCUGCAGAAGGAUCA
This 114-nucleotide ribosomal RNA is filed under the name uncultured eukaryote. RNAcentral describes it as "partial small subunit ribosomal RNA". It matches the Rfam family "Bacterial small subunit ribosomal RNA", at positions 1413 to 1525 of the family's 1533-position model. The record is from RNAcentral.